This 429-nucleotide ribosomal RNA is filed under the name Pseudomonadota bacterium. RNAcentral describes it as "Proteobacteria bacterium partial 16S ribosomal RNA". It matches the Rfam family "Bacterial small subunit ribosomal RNA", at positions 355 to 776 of the family's 1533-position model. The record is from RNAcentral. Lineage: Bacteria; Pseudomonadati; Pseudomonadota.
UGGGGAAUAUUGGACAAUGGGCGAAAGCCUGAUCCAGCCAUGCCGCGUGUGUGAAGAAGGUCUUCGGAUUGUAAAGCACUUUAAGUUGGGAGGAAGGGCAGUAAGCGAAUACCUUGCUGUUUUGACGUUACCGACAGAAUAAGCACCGGCUAACUCUGUGCCAGCAGCCGCGGUAAUACAGAGGGUGCAAGCGUUAAUCGGAAUUACUGGGCGUAAAGCGCGCGUAGGUGGUUCGUUAAGUUGAAUGUGAAAGCCCCGGGCUCAACCUGGGAGCUGCAUCCAAAACUGGCGAGCUAGAGUAGGGCAGAGGGUGGUGGAAUUUCCUGUGUAGCGGUGAAAUGCGUAGAUAUAGGAAGGAACACAAGUGGCGAAGGCGACCACCUGGGCUCAUACUGACACUGAGGUGCGAAAGCGUGGGGAGCAAACAGG